RNAcentral lists this long non-coding RNA (3586 nucleotides) under Gossypium barbadense (sea-island cotton). RNAcentral describes it as "long non-coding RNA (GBAR_LNC016308)". Lineage: Eukaryota; Viridiplantae; Streptophyta; Magnoliopsida; Malvales; Malvaceae. The record is from RNAcentral.
UCCCAACCAAGCAAUCAAAACCAACCAAUACAUGUUCUAAACAUAAUAUAACAUUACAUAUACAUCAAUUACUUAUACUUACCCAUUUAACUCAUUUCAUUGAUUUAUCAGAUUCUACUACGAAUUACGCACAUACAAACAUUUAAGAUUCACAACCACAAGUCAAAUUAUUUCAUUGCCAAACCAACUCUAUACAUGUCAUAUAAACCAAAAUUUAUAUUUCAAAAACUACCGUAUUAAACUGGAUAGUGUGGCUUGAUAUGUUGAUUCGAUCUUCCGAUCACACGUUAAUCUACAAGAACAUAAACAACACGAGUAAGCUUAAUGAAGCUUAGUAAGUUCAAUAGAUUAAACAUUGAUCUUACUGAACUCAAUAUAAUCAACUAAAUUGUAAAUAAAUCAUACAUUCUCCCUGUCAAAUACAACAUAAGUCAAUGAACACACUUCCUUUAGAUCAAUAUAAUUAAUAAUCAAUAUAUCUUUCAAUUCAUUCACAUAGGUCUUUUACCAAUUCUUACAGAAUCGAGGAACGACUUAUGGAUAUGAGUACUCGUUUUCUUUGUGCCAUAGUCCAACUAUGGUCUUACACAUGCAUUGCCAUGGCCCAGCCAUGAUCUUACAUUCGUAGUGCCAUAACCCAGUUAUGGUCUUAUCAUCAGAAUGCCAUAGCCCAGCUAUGGUCUUACUUAUAAAUACUGCCAUGGUCCAACCAUGGUCUUACGUUCAAAGUGUCAUAACCCAGUUAUGGUAUUUUCAUUAAAAUGCCAUAGCCCAACUAUGGUAUUACAUAUAAACAUUGCCAUGGUCCAACCAUGGUCUUAUCCGUCAAUUCAUCCUUUGCUAUAAAACGAUUGUACACUAUCCUGCGUUUUACUUGUUUUAAGCAUUCAUUUCAAUUUCAUAAUUUGACAAUAAAUUUUAGUUUCAAUAAUAAGAAUAAGAAUAAAUACAUUAUAUCAUUCAUAAAUUAAUAAAUAAUCAUGAAAUUUUAACCAGACGAACUUACCUGGGUUAAAUUGUGGAAUUUGUAAUGGUUCAGAGAUUUUUCGGCUAUUUUUCCUUUUUCGUGUUGGUCUAAGGGCUCUUGAUAUGUAGCAAAAUAUGAAAACCAGCUUCUUAAGGGUUCUUCAAUGGUGUUUUUUGAUGAGAAUUAUGAAGAAAUUUUCUAGAAUUCUCUUAUUAUUUCAAUUUGUAAGCUAAAUUUUUUAUUUUUCUAAUUUUGCCCUUAUUUCACUUGAUUUUUUGAUUUUUCUCUGCCUCCGCCCAAGCCAUCAUCUUUGGGCUAAUUUGCCUUUUAUGUCCUCCCUCAUUUAACACUUGAGCUAUUUAAUCAUUUUAGCAAGUUUUGCACAUAUUUCAAUUUAGUCUUUUUUAAUUAAUUAACUAUCAAAAUGUUAAAAUUUUCUAACAAAAUAUUAAUACUAACUUAAUGACACCCUGUAAAUAUUUAUAAAAAUAUUUACGGCUCGAUUUAUAAAAUUGAGGUCUCGAUACCUCAUUUUUUAAACCAUUCUACCUAAUAAAUCCUUCUAAAACACAAAUCACCAAUUCAAAAAUCUUUCUAAAAUCACACUUGACUCGUAAAUAAUAAAUAACAAAAUUUUCAAACUCACUCGUCGGAUUUAGUGGUCUCGAACCACUAUUUCUGACACCACUGAAAAUUGGGCUGUUACAUCUACCACCUAUUUUGCCUGCAUUAUUUUCCUGAAACUAAACAACAUUGGCCUAUAAAGGAAUGCUCGCCACAAACUCCAAUUGUCAUGUCUCACAAUCUAACAACAUCUCAAUAAGCACAUCCAGAGAAACAUUCAUAUCUGAAGCCACCAUGCGAACUUACUCAUACUCCACUGGUAAUCUUGCCAAAAUAAAGUUGACUUAUCCGAGAUCAGGUACCAAUCUACCAACUGCAGUGAGAACAUCACAUAUGUUCCUUAUCUUAGUCAAAUAUUCUUUAAUGGACAACUGUCCCUUUUUUCUGAGAAUAAAGACUAUGUCUCAGACUAGAAAUCUUCAUGCUUGACUUAGCAACAAACCGUCUUUCAAUUGCGAGCCAGACACCUAGACUCGUGCGAGCAUUAGUAAGAUAAACAAGGAUCUCAUCACACACAGUAGACAAAAGCCGAGAUGCCAAGAGUUUGUCUUGUUGAUUAUGCUUCAAGAACGCAGUAUUUUCCACCAAUGGACCAUUGUUGUCAUCAAGAAACUAAGAUGGAACACUGAUAGUGCCUAAAACAAAAUCUUGCAAAUUACAGCCUUUAAGAAUAAAAAUAAUUUGAUGUUUUUACAAAAGAAAUUUUGUUUCAUUGAGCUUAAUAGUAUUAUGCUUAGGAAAUUGAGGAACACGUUUACUCACUAUGCAAGAAUUGCACCCAGGAUCCAAAUGACAAGAAGAUACCUGUGUAGCACCAUUACCAUCAUUAGCAGAUUGUUAUUGAUUAUCGCCAUCUCCUGAGAUUAUUUUUAGAGCCAUGACUCACCAACGAAACUUCAACGACUUUCCGCACACUACCCUCAACAAGAAACCGUAGCUCUUGAUACCAAGUUGAAACAUUAAUAGAUAGAGAAAGAACACAUGAACCUCAAAGAAUCAAAGAAGAGAGAAUAUCAAAGAGAAGAAAGAAAGAAAGAUUUCUUCACUAAGUUCAACAUGAAUACAAAGAACCUACAACCAUAGUAUUUAUACUAAGUUUUGAACAAAGAAGAUGAAUAACAACCUGAACCAACUAACUCAAUAACUUAUUAACAACCUAAUUGUUGCAGCAGUUCCUUAACAUUCAUCGAGCCUCCUGGCUGUUGCUAUUGAAGCUUGCGAACAGCUCAACUGUGAACACCUAGACUGCUGCAAAUCAAUCCUUAACACAUUAAAAUAUUUAAAAGUUUCACUUAACCAUAAAUUAAAAUUAAGUAAUAAAAUUCAAUAAAAUUUAAUGUUUAGGAAAACCGAAUCCUAUAAAACUAAAAUGAAAAAGUUACUUUAUACCAAAAAAAUAUGGAAAUGUUUUGUUUAUUGAAUAAAAAAAUAACAAAUAUUAAACAAAAUAAAAUAUAAUUAUGAAUUUGGGUAUCCGAUAGUAAAUUAUUCACCUUAUCAUCCUUUAAAAUUUAAAAAAUAAACAAAAUAAAACAAAAGAGACUGUCUAUUAUUUAUUCAUUUCUUUCUUCUCUUUUGAUUCAUUAGCUGAGUUAAUAUUCAGAUAUUUGGUUUUAGGUCUUAAACUCGAUGACUUUGACUCGAUGUCGAGUUUAAAAUUCUUUUAACCAACUUCUAAAAAUAGACAAAAAAAAAACAAUAAAUUAAAUUCCAAAAUAAAAAAUAAACAAUUUUUUUAAUCGCAUAUUUAACUUUAAAACACUAGCGUUUUCCGGUAUUUUUGCGGAAAAAGAAUAUUUUUAAGUUAAAAGUGGUUUUUUCACCUGCAUAUAAAAUUCUUGACCCCGAAAUUUAAAAAAUAAAAAAAAGUGCUGCUGUUUUAACUCAGCCAAUGAAUCUAAAGAGAAGAAAGUAAAGAUGUAUGUUUCAAUUUUCAAAGGAAGUUGGCAAAGGCUUUCUUAGUAGAAAUGGAUAUUUAUACCACACAGAUUGUAC